Molecule: ribosomal RNA, 115 nt
Filed under: uncultured bacterium
Lineage: Bacteria
Description: partial 16S ribosomal RNA
Rfam family: Bacterial small subunit ribosomal RNA
Source: RNAcentral
CCUACGGGAGGCAGCAGUGGGGAAUCUUGCGCAAUGGGCGAAAGCCUGACGCAGCAACGCCGCGUGGGGGAAGAAGGCUUUCGGGCUGUAAACCGCUUUCAGUAGGAACGAAACU